UCGCUUUGGCAGCAAAUAUACUAAAACUGGAAUUAUACAAAGAAGAUUAGCAUGGCCCUAUGCAAGGAUAAUGUGCAAAUUUGUGAAGGCUUCCUUUCCUUU
Nannospalax galili (Upper Galilee mountains blind mole rat) is the source of this 102-nucleotide small nuclear RNA. NCBI's taxonomy places the organism in Eukaryota, Metazoa, Chordata, Mammalia, Rodentia, Spalacidae. The record is from Ensembl.